GAACUUUCUCUGGUUUGUAAUCAGCGGGGCCUAUAGGCGAGGCAAUCAGAAAUUAAUAUUGUCUAUCGUUAUUUAUUAAAUUCUAUCUUUGCAUGUUAAUAGUAUGUCAAAGAAAUACAUAUUUUGGAAGAAAUUAGUCAAGAUUCACCUUUUCCGGACUGUAUGUACCAGGUGCUAUGACAAGAAUAAACAUCAAAUAUAAAAAUGAAUGAUCAAAUUUAAGUUUCAAUAAAAUACCUAAAACAUACCAGGAA
Molecule: long non-coding RNA, 254 nt
Organism: Monomorium pharaonis (pharaoh ant)
Lineage: Eukaryota; Metazoa; Arthropoda; Insecta; Hymenoptera; Formicidae
Exons: 2
Source: RefSeq, a predicted model, not a curated record